This is a long non-coding RNA of Caretta caretta (loggerhead turtle), 2390 nucleotides long. RefSeq lists it as uncharacterized. NCBI's taxonomy places the organism in Eukaryota, Metazoa, Chordata, Testudines, Cheloniidae. The record is from RefSeq and is a predicted model, not a curated record.
GCCGCUCAGGAAACGAUUUGCCUGUCGCAUUAUGCAGAGGCCAAUUUUCCAUGAGGGGUUUCGUGUGUGUGGCUGCUGGAAAACCAAGGAGGAGGCAUGGACCACCCUCAACAGGAGACCUUAAGAGAAACCUGUCCCAGAAUAGUCUAUAGCCCAGUCUGAGGGAGGACUCCUGGGUUUAAGUCCUUGCUCCACAUCAGGCAGAAUGGGGAUUUGACAUCAGGUCUGCCACAUCCUGGGGUCAGGAAUUUAGAAGCCGCAGCAGCUUGAGGAGACUGAUGUAACAGUGGAGGCGGACUGAAGCUCUCUGUUUAUUCACAGUGCUGGGAAGCAGGACAGAAAAGCUCAAGGCAAGCUUCCUUACGACAUUCCAAAAGCAAACUGCAUGCCUGACCUGAAGUGAUCAGCCCCUGGGGAACAGGCGGGUAACUAAGACUUAGUGCUCAGUCAUUCAUGAGCUUCUUUCUGUAAAGCUGCCAGGGGAGCCAAAAUUGUAUAUGUGUCAAUAUGUGCGUGUGUGGUUUAAUGAUGCAGGCUACUGUUAACUGUGGGCUAAGCUUCAACCAUCAAACCCCAUUUCGUUUGCUCCCGUGUGCCAAAUUUAAACAUGCCAUUCCAGCAGUGAAAGGUCUGCUCACUAUACCACAGCACUAGCUAGUCAUCCUGCUGGAAAAUAUUUCGAAGUCUAGCAAGGAAUUCAAAUUUGUCUUGAACUACUUCUCUGUUCAUUUAACAGACAAAAGUUUUUGUGGCUGUCAGUCCCACAGAACCUAUGCUAUAGAUAAACACAUUUGCUUUUGCAACAAAGCUAAACUCAUUGGGUUUGGCAUUUGAAUUUCAUUUGUCCUGAAGAUUUCAUUUGUGCUUUCCCUCCUGCCUUCUUACCUUUAAUCUUUUGUGUAGGAAAUGAAAAAUCAGUCUAGGCAUGUACUUAAAAAUGCCCAAAACCUUAGAACUUCUCAUUUCAUGCUGCCAAAAUGUUAAUCUAGGUAUUUGAGCUUCAGUUUUAAUAAGUGCUAUUAUCAGUCACACUGCAGAAAAACUGGCUUAACUGACAGUUAUGCUGAAACUGAACCUGCAUAUUAUAAUUGCAGAGAAAACUAGUUGCAGUUUGGAAACCAGUAUUUCCCUCUUCAACAUAUUUUCUUGUCAGAUCUACAGCUGCAUGUUUGUCAUAGACAAGCAGGCCAAAGCAGAUACUAUGGGGGUGAGCUCCUUAAAAGAUGCCAUUAUUAUUUUGCUUUGUUUAUUGCCAAGGAUGAGCUUCACAUUGUAGAAGACAUGGAAGACGACACGGUCCCCUGCAUCAAGAAUUUUACAGCCUAAAGGCCCAAUCCUACAGUCCUUUACCCAUGUGAUUAGUCCUUACUCAAAACAGGGUUUCAUCCUGGGGCUAACUGACAUCAGUGGACGGUCCCACUGAUUUCAGUAAUGCAUAAGAACAUAAGCCCUUCAGUAGGAUCACUCACCUGAGUGAGAGGUUGCAAUACAAGUUCCAAGAUGCACAGGCCACACAAAUCGGAGACCCCAGGAAACCAAGAGAGUGCUUUUGGUGUGAAUUUCUUUUGGGAAAAAAAAUGGAGUGGGUGAAAGCAUUUUGAUUGCUUCUCUUUUACAUCUAAUAAGAUACGGCCCUAAAAAUCUCAGUACACACAAGACACACGUUGUUCAGGCAGGGUUUCUCCUAAGUAGGGACAAGUCACCAAAGGGUCUCCCAGUGUAACCCUCAAAGUAGAAGAACAUAUAUGGAAACUGCUUUAAAACACAACCAAAGUUGCUUAUUAAAAAGCAGGGCAGGGUUUCAGGGAUGGAAGACAUGGAAGUAUAAAAUUAAACUUGAGUAGGAUCACUGCCUUUUAUGGAGCUGCAGGAAACCCUUCUCAUCUCUGUUACAUCCUGGUAAAGUUAACAACUUUUAUUGGAUUCAGGAUGGCCCAAUUGCAUCAUACCAUAGAACUCGCACCUCCAAUAUUCCAUCAACCAGCAAAACACAUGCAAUUAGUUUGUUUUGAAUUUUGUUGAUCAUUCUUUAUCUCCUAAAACUAUUUGGGUAGUAAAUCAUGUGUACUGUAAUGACAGAAGAAUUGAUUAAACUGGAGCCCCUGUGCUGCUUAAUCCAAACCACCCAUUCAUGAGUCUGGCAGCUCUUUCUGCUUUUGGAGCAAUAGGAAGUUCUAACCUAGUUUACACCGGUAGGAGCAGAUAGUACCGCAAUCAGGAUCUGGAUACUUACUGAUCCCACACCUUUGCAAAUCUGGUUUAACAAUGCCAGACUUAGGUCUCUAAGUCUUGUGACUAUCCCAAAGCAACCCUUCCCCCCAUCUUUUUUUUUUUUUUUUUAACUCAUGAUACCAUUUAACAGUGUGGUAUCUUCUAAUACCCUAUCUAGA